GCUGUUCGCAGGUUCAGUUGUGCGUGGGAUCCCCAGCGUGGCCUGCGCAGGGCCAGGAGCUGCGCUCGGUGAUGCUGCUGGGUCCCUUCCAUCUCAGCACAUUCUGUGACUUUCUGUCACAGGCACCGACCGGGGGGUGAGAACUCUGCCGGCCGCACAUACACGGAUUCACCGACACACGCCAAGGGAGGGAUCGCUGCCAAAGCAGGUUCUGCAUCUCCCCCAUCACCACAGGCCCCCUGGAUACUGGGAGGUUGCUGUGAGGUCUGAAGAGCCCCAGCUUUCUCCGCCUGCUGUGCCUGGGAAGAGGGUGUGGACAUGACAGGAGCUCAUCACUGCCUGCUUUGAGCUGACAGUUCACCGAAAACAUGGCAGGAGACAGGUCAGGUUGGGCAGCGAGCAGGAACUGGAACUGUAAUCAGAUUAAGGGAAGUGUCACACACCUCUGGCUCCAAGGCACAACCUGGCAUCUCUCCUCCUCCACUCUCAACCCAGUCACCCAUCCAGUCAACUUCUUGAAGUUCACACAGGGUCACAGUGAAAGGUGAAAGCUUUGUCUAUAUUCAGCUCAGGCUUCGCUGUGCCGAGCAGGAUGUUCACAAGAUCCCAUCUCUGAGGCUGUCAGCAACCUGAGAGUCCAUGUGAGGGAAGGACUUGCCCAUGGUGUAACCUGCUAACAGGAAUCCUACCUGUGAAGACUUCUGCACUGGUUCCAGAAGCACCCACCCAACAUUGCUAACUGCUGGAUCCUAUGACAAUUCACCGUGACUCCAAAUUGCCUGGCAUCAAAAUUGCUACUUAAAUCAGCAACUAACAUGGAACCAAUUAGCAAUGGACAGUUCAUGCUGUGAAAACCACAAGGUCACUUCUUGGUAAAAGGACAGCUGGAUGUAACUAGCUACAGUAGCAGCAAGGAAAAAAUAAACUUGGGAGGGAUAGUAGCAGCCAGCAAUGCAAUGGUGCUUUAGGGAAAGGGAAAUCCCAUUUUCAGAUGAAGUAGCAAUACCCCGAGAUGCAGUUACUCAGUUUUAUUCUGGUUUAUCCAACACAAACAAUGUCUCAGGUGAGGAGACUGUAAAACAGGAAUAAAAAUUACACAUGGAAGAAAAUACAGCA
Lonchura striata (white-rumped munia) is the source of this 1116-nucleotide non-coding RNA. The record is from RefSeq and is a predicted model, not a curated record. Lineage: Eukaryota; Metazoa; Chordata; Aves; Passeriformes; Estrildidae.